UGCGUAGGCGGUUUGUUAAGUCUGACGUGAAAUCCCCGGGCUCAACCUGGGACGUGCGUUGGAAACUGGCGAUCUAGAGUACGGUAGAGGGUGGUGGAAUUCCCGGUGUAGCAGUGAAAUGCGUAGAGAUCGGGAGGAACACUCGUGGCGAAGGCGACCACCUGGACUGAUACUGACACUGAGGUGCGAAAGCGUGGGGAGCAAACAGGAUUAGAUACCCCUGUA
This 225-nucleotide ribosomal RNA is filed under the name uncultured Silanimonas sp. RNAcentral describes it as "partial 16S ribosomal RNA". It matches the Rfam family "Bacterial small subunit ribosomal RNA", at positions 568 to 792 of the family's 1533-position model. Lineage: Bacteria; Pseudomonadati; Pseudomonadota; Gammaproteobacteria; Lysobacterales; Lysobacteraceae. The record is from RNAcentral.